RNAcentral lists this ribosomal RNA (465 nucleotides) under uncultured Thauera sp. RNAcentral describes it as "partial 16S ribosomal RNA". Lineage: Bacteria; Pseudomonadati; Pseudomonadota; Betaproteobacteria; Rhodocyclales; Zoogloeaceae. The record is from RNAcentral.
GACUACAGGGGUAUCUAAUCCUGUUUGCUCCCCACGCUUUCGUGCAUGAGCGUCAGUACAGGCCCAGGGGGCUGCCUUCGCCAUCGGUGUUCCUCCUGAUAUCUACGCAUUUCACUGCUACACCAGGAAUUCCACCCCCCUCUGCCGUACUCUAGCCUUGCAGUCACAAACGCAGUUCCCAGGUUAAGCCCGGGGAUUUCACAUCUGUCUUACAAAACCGCCUGCGCACGCUUUACGCCCAGUAAUUCCGAUUAACGCUCGCACCCUACGUAUUACCGCGGCUGCUGGCACGUAGUUAGCCGGUGCUUCUUAGUCCGGUACCGUCAUCCACAUCCUAUAUUAGAGAAUGCGAUUUCUUCCCGGCCGAAAGAGCUUUACAACCCGAAGGCCUUCUUCACUCACGCGGCAUGGCUGGAUCAGGCUUGCGCCCAUUGUCCAAAAUUCCCCACUGCAGCCCCCCGUAGG